UACGUAGGGGGCUAGCGUUGCUCGGAAUCACUGGGCGUAAAGGGUGCGUAGGCGGGACUUUAAGUCAGGGGGGAAAUCCUGGAGCUCAACUCCAGAACUGCCUUUGAUACUGAGGAUCUUGAGUUCGGGAGAGGUGAGUGGAACUGCGAGUGUAGAGGUGAAAUUCGUAGAUAUUCGCAAGAACACCAGUGGCGAAGGCGGCUCACUGGCCCGAUACUGACGCUGAUGCACGAAAGCGUGGGGAGCAAACAGG
RNAcentral lists this ribosomal RNA (253 nucleotides) under uncultured bacterium. RNAcentral describes it as "partial 16S ribosomal RNA". It matches the Rfam family "Bacterial small subunit ribosomal RNA", at positions 524 to 776 of the family's 1533-position model. The record is from RNAcentral.